Molecule: ribosomal RNA, 301 nt
Filed under: uncultured bacterium
Lineage: Bacteria
Description: partial 16S ribosomal RNA
Rfam family: Bacterial small subunit ribosomal RNA
Source: RNAcentral
CACCGCCGCGGGAAUACGGAGGGUGCAAGCGUUAAUCGGAAUUACUGGGCGUAAAGCGCACGCAGGCGGUCUGACAAGUCAGAUGUGAAAUCCCCGGGCUUAACCUGGGAACUGCAUUUGAAACUGUCAGGCUGGAGUCUUGUAGAGGGGGGUGGAAUUCCAGGUGUAGCGGUGAAAUGCGUAGAGAUCUGGAGGAAUACCGGUGGCGAAGGCGGCCCCCUGGACAAAGACUGACGCUCAGGUGCGAAAGCGUGGGGAGCAAACAGGAUUAGAUACCCCUGUAGUCCCUGUCUCUUAUACC